This 202-nucleotide ribosomal RNA is filed under the name uncultured bacterium. RNAcentral's name for it is "partial 16S ribosomal RNA". It matches the Rfam family "Bacterial small subunit ribosomal RNA", at positions 1301 to 1500 of the family's 1533-position model. The record is from RNAcentral.
CAGUCUGCAACUCGACUGCACGAAGCUGGAAUCGCUAGUAAUCGCGGAUCAGCACGCCGCGGUGAAUACGUUCCCGGGCCUUGUACACACCGCCCGUCACACCAUGGAAGUCUGCAAUGCCCGAAGCCGGUGGGAUAACCUUUAUAGGAGUCAGCCGUCUAAGGUAGGACAGAUGAUUAGGGUGAAGUCGUAACAAGGUAAC